Molecule: ribosomal RNA, 399 nt
Filed under: uncultured organism
Description: bacterial SSU rRNA
Rfam family: Bacterial small subunit ribosomal RNA
Source: RNAcentral
GUGCAGCAGUCGCGAAUUUUUCUCAAUGGGGGAAACCCUGAAGGAGCGACGCCGCGUGGAGGAUGAAGGCCUUCGGGUUGUAAACUCCUGUCAUUUGAGAACAAGGAGCCGAGAGUAACUACUUCGGCUUUGAUAGUAUCAGAAGAGGAAGGGACGGCUAACUCCGUGCCAGCAGCCGCGGUAAUACAGAGGUCCCAAGCGUUGUUCGGAUUCAUUGGGCGUAAAGGGUGCGUAGGUGGCGCCAUAAGUCAGGUGUGAAAUUUCGGAGCUUAACUCCGAAACUGCAUUUGAUACUGUGGUGCUUGAGGACUGGAGAGGAGACUGGAAUUUACGGUGUAGCAGUGAAAUGCGUAGAGAUCGUAAGGAAGACCAGUGGCGAAGGCGGGGUACUCUGGACAG